Molecule: ribosomal RNA, 418 nt
Filed under: uncultured bacterium
Lineage: Bacteria
Description: bacterial SSU rRNA
Rfam family: Bacterial small subunit ribosomal RNA
Source: RNAcentral
AUAUUGGCCAAUGGACGCAAGUCUGAACCAGCCAUGCCGCGUGCAGGAAGACGGCUCUAUGAGUUGUAAACUGCUUUUGUACGAGGGUAAACGCAGAUACGCGCAUCUGUCUGAAAGUAUCGUACGAAUAAGGGUCGGCUAACUCCGUGCCAGCAGCCGCGGUAAUACGGAGGAUUCAAGCGUUAUCCGGAUUUAUUGGGUUUAAAGGGUGCGUAGGCGGUUUGAUAAGUUGGAGGUGAAAUGUUAGGGCUUAACCCUGAAACUGCCUGCAAUACUGUUGGACUAGAGAGUAGUUGCGGUAGGCGGAAUGUAUGGUGUAGCGGUGAAAUGCUUAGAGAUCAUACAGAACACCGAUUGCGAAGGCAGCUUACCAAACUAUAUCUGACGUUGAGGCACGAAAGCGUGGGGAGCAAACAGG